GACGAACGCUGGCGGCGUGCUUAACACAUGCAAGUCGAACGGAAAGACCCUGCGUUUGUUGGUUUCUCGAUUGCCGAAGGGGGGAGUAACACAUGAGUAUCCUCCCCUUAUCUUUGUGGGAUCUUCACGAAACUGGGGCGAUUACCCGGUAGGAUCUCCUGCUGCGUGUUGUUCGUUGGAAAGUGUCGGCGGUUGUGGCUGGACUCGCGGGUUAUCAGCUUGUUUGUGUGGUAGUUGCUUACCAGGGCUUUGACGGGUAGCCCGCCUGGGAGGGUGACCGGCCACAUUGCGACUGCGAUACGGACCAGAAUCCUACGGGAGGCAGUAGUGGGGAAUAUUGCACAAUGGGGGGAAGCCUGAUGUAGAAAUGCCGCGUGCGGGAUGACGGGCUACGAGUUGUAAACAGAUUUCGAAUGUGAUGAAGAGUGAGUGACGGUAAUGGGUAAAGAAGCACCGGCUAACUACGUG
Molecule: ribosomal RNA, 468 nt
Filed under: uncultured bacterium
Lineage: Bacteria
Description: partial 16S ribosomal RNA
Rfam family: Bacterial small subunit ribosomal RNA
Source: RNAcentral